Non-coding RNA from Oryza punctata, 207 nucleotides. The record is from Rfam. NCBI's taxonomy places the organism in Eukaryota, Viridiplantae, Streptophyta, Magnoliopsida, Poales, Poaceae.
AAAGAGUGUAGUUUUACACUGUUCAUGUGUAAUGUUUAGAUCGUUCGUCUUAUUUGAAAUUCUUUUAUGAUUAGUAUUUUUAUUGUUAUUAUAUGAUAAAACAUGAAUUGUACUUUAUGUGUGACUAUUUUUAUAAUAUUUUUAUAAAAUUUUCAAAUAAGAUGAACGAUCAAACGUUGGAUACGGAAACCUAUGACUCCACUUAAA